Molecule: long non-coding RNA, 1599 nt
Organism: Vidua macroura (Pin-tailed whydah)
Lineage: Eukaryota; Metazoa; Chordata; Aves; Passeriformes; Viduidae
Exons: 5
Source: RefSeq, a predicted model, not a curated record
CCCACAUAACCCUGGAGUACACAAGAAAACAGGAAGGAACAGAGCGGGGCUGCACGGAAGCCCUGCAUAGCCACCUCAUGUCUUGCUGACCCCUGUCUUCUUUUCCAGGGUAUCUCCCAUCCCUGUGGCUGAAGCCCUCAAAACCCAAGCUCCAGCAGGAUCAAACACCUCUCCUGCACUACCUCUGACUGUGCUUGCGUUUUGCCAAAUCCAUUUGAGAAACUGCCAGAAAAGAAGAAGCACACCCAUUGCCACUUCCACAGAAAUGCACAGGUAUUUUUGAACUUCCAUACACCUACUGAUCCUGAAGACAAGACCAGCAUGGCCCCUGAGGACAUGGCAAAUGCUGAAUCCUAUAAAGCAGAGGACUGUGCCAUGCUGCAUAUGAUCAUGGGAAGUGGCACCUCCAGACUGAAGAAAGUGCUGACCAUUGUGAGGGACAUUUACCAAUGGCUCUCAUUCAUCACAGACUAGAUCAGACCCUGCAGGAGAUGAUCCUUGCACAGACACAUGAUGUGGUGGUGAGCCUCCUGUGGUGUGCCCCAUCAUGUGACAGCCCAUCAAGACAUGACAAAUAACUUUAGCCACUCCAUCUUUAACCUCGUAACUCAAACCCAGCACUUUCUAAGAACUGCAGAGAGAAAUCCUUACUCCAGACUCAGGCUGCUGCAAAACCAGCUCCGUGAGGCAUGGAAGAGAUGAGCUUCUCUCUUGGAAAAUGGCUGGUCUUCUCUCUGGUACAAUGUUGGGUUACAAAGCUGGAGGUCCCCACACUACUGAUCCCAAGAACUCUUAGGGCUAUCUGAAUGGAAAUAUUCAGUGGCCUCUGGCCUCUCCCAACUCACAGGACAGCUUUCCUCUUAGAUCACUUUUCUUCACCCCUUUUAAGGAAACUAUUAAAAUGCAAAAUAAAAAGGCACUAGUUAACAGUCUAUUUCCUUGGGUUCCUGCCAGUCAGAGCCCAAUCUACAGCUGGCACUGCAGCUGCACACUGAGCUAUCUGCAUUGACUAUGUAUCUUAACACUCUCACCCGUGUUUUUAUUGAGCUUACCUGCUAAUAUACUAAGAGGAAAACAAAAACAUUUCAAUGCAUUUAACCACUGCUCUUACAUCCAGCAUUAUAACAAGUAACAAACUUAACAGUAUAAAGGCUAACAAGAAUGUCAUAGGAUUAAAAUAUUUAUAGAUAUGAAACCACAAACAAUCCUCAAACUUCAGUUACUGAUCAAGAGACUGAUCCUUUUCUACAUGUUAACAUAUUGAGUCAAGCAUUCAUCACCAUCGAACAGGCCUUAACUGGGACGUAAGUUCACAGAGAGAAUAUUCUAAAUUGGAAGGGACCUACAAUGAUCAUUGAGGCCAACUAUUGAGGCCAAUACAUGGUUCAUACGAGGAUUGAACAUGUACAUGACCUUGGUAUUAUUAGCAAGCUGAUUGAUUGUAUUUGAUAAGGAUAGUAGAACAGAACAGCAUAGCCUUGGAGAAGUAAAAAUAGGAUGUAACUUAAUCAAACAGAAGUCAUGCAAGACACAAGCAGGAUGCCAGCUAAGCUCUGCAAGGCUGACAAAGCAGGAGUUAUAAACAAUAUUGCGUUUAUU